UUUAUAUAUAGGCUACUAUACUUUUAUGAGUAUAGAGCCCUUCAUACUCAUAAGUUGUUUUCAAUGAUAGAGCUUCCGAAUCGACGAUCCAUUCUGUUAAAUAUGAUCUAAAGUAUUUGAAACUUUUAGAAAAUUAAUUUCGUAGUUUUUCGAAAUCAUAAUAAAGUUCAUCAAGAAGGUAUAAAAUGAACAGUCAAAAUCAAACGACGUCUUAAAAAUGGAUGAUCAGAUCCUUCAAUUUAAGAUCAGAGUUAUUGAUCUUUAUCUAUAUAGUGAAUAGAAUCUUUUAUCAAAAAUUUAACCGAUUCUGAUUCUUUUACACCAUUAAACUAACAAAUAUCUCAUAUCGGCCGUUAAAAAUUAUCAAUUUUGUGACCUUUUGAUCGUAAGGUAAAUGAUGUCGAAAAAUUAUAAAAUUUGAUUUCUAUACGUUUUAAAAUAUCUAGAUAACGUUUAACGGUGUGGAUCGUCGAUUCGGAAGCUCUGUCAUCAAAAAUAACUUAUGAGUAUAAGGGCGAUCGUACUCAUAAGAGCAUAGUAGCUGGACUAUAUAUAUAUAUAUAUAUAUAUAGUGUGAGGCUACUAUGCUUCUGGCAACACGGAGCCUUCUGUGCUUCCAGAUCGUUUUUUAUGUUGCGACUUUCGAAUUAUCGAUUGGCUCCGUUAAACUUGAUCUAGAGUAUUUGAAGUACCUAGAAAAUAAAUUUUAUGAUUUUUCAUUAUCAUUUGCCUAAUGAUCGAAGGGGCUCAAAAUCAACUAAUUUUAAUGACCGUAGUGAGCCGCUUGCAAGUUUAACGGUGUAGAAAUAUCCAAAUCACGUGAAAUUUUAAUAGAAAAUUCUUUAUACUCCAUAAAACAAGAUUAAUAUCUUUGAUCUAAAAUUUUAAUGUUAUAUUAUCACGUUUUGUAGGAUUUUUAUUUUCAGCCGCUGAUUUUGAGUCCCUUCGUUCACUAGGCAAAUAAU
This 965-nucleotide long non-coding RNA is filed under the name Ananas comosus (pineapple). Its description in RNAcentral is "long non-coding RNA (ACOM_LNC038372)". Lineage: Eukaryota; Viridiplantae; Streptophyta; Magnoliopsida; Poales; Bromeliaceae. The record is from RNAcentral.